GGGUCAGUAGGUUGGUCGUGCCACCGGUACGUACUGGUCUCACUGAUUCCUCCUUCCUGAAGAACCAUAAUGUCAUUAAUUUGGUGUUGCGGGGAAACAGGACUGUUACUUUGAAAAAAUUAGAGUGUUUAAAGCAAGCUAACGCUUGAAUACAUUAGCAUGGAAUAAUGAAAUAGGACGAUCGAUCCUAUUUUGUUGGUUUCUAGGAUUGACGUA
Molecule: ribosomal RNA, 216 nt
Filed under: Glomeromycotina sp.
Lineage: Eukaryota; Fungi; Glomeromycota
Description: partial small subunit ribosomal RNA
Rfam family: Eukaryotic small subunit ribosomal RNA (bases 40-216)
Source: RNAcentral